RNAcentral lists this transfer RNA (72 nucleotides) under Bos taurus (domestic cattle). It matches the Rfam family "tRNA". Rfam says of the family: Transfer RNA (tRNA) molecules are approximately 80 nucleotides in length. Their secondary structure includes four short double-helical elements and three loops (D, anti-codon, and T loops). Lineage: Eukaryota; Metazoa; Chordata; Mammalia; Artiodactyla; Bovidae. The record is from Rfam by way of RNAcentral. RNAcentral also lists the same sequence under 2 other names.
UCUUGCAUAGCUCAGUUGGUAAAGUAUCUGCCUGCCAUGCAGGAGACAUGGGUUCAAGUCCUGGGUCAGGAA